UCUACGGGGCGCUGCAGUGGGGAAUAUUGGACAAUGGGCGAAAGCCUGAUCCAGCCAUGCCGCGUGUGUGAAGAAGGCCUUCGGGUUGUAAAGCACUUUCAGUGGGGAAGAAAGCCUUGGGGCUAAUACCCUCGAGGAAGGACAUCACCCACAGAAGAAGCACCGGCUAACUCCGUGCCAGCAGCCGCGGUAAUACGGAGGGUGCGAGCGUUAAUCGGAAUUACUGGGCGUAAAGCGCGCGUAGGCGGUCUGAUAAGCCGGUUGUGAAAGCCCCGGGCUCAACCUGGGAACGGCAUCCGGAACUGUCAGGCUAGAGUGCAGGAGAGGAAGGUAGAAUUCCCGGUGUAGCGGUGAAAUGCGUAGAGAUCGGGAGGAAUACCAGUGGCGAAGGCGGCCUUCUGGACUGACACUGACGCUGAGGUGCGAAAGCGUGGGUAGCAAACAGGAUUAGAUACCCCUGUAGUC
Molecule: ribosomal RNA, 465 nt
Filed under: Vreelandella stevensii
Lineage: Bacteria; Pseudomonadati; Pseudomonadota; Gammaproteobacteria; Oceanospirillales; Halomonadaceae
Description: partial 16S ribosomal RNA
Rfam family: Bacterial small subunit ribosomal RNA
Source: RNAcentral